Long non-coding RNA from Bombus terrestris (buff-tailed bumblebee), 1060 nucleotides. RefSeq lists it as uncharacterized. The record is from RefSeq and is a predicted model, not a curated record. NCBI's taxonomy places the organism in Eukaryota, Metazoa, Arthropoda, Insecta, Hymenoptera, Apidae. The transcript is spliced from 4 exons.
GUUUAUGACCGACAUCUUGUCUCUGUCCUGUCAAGAUUCGGCUGUCUGAGGAGCGCAUGUUCCACGGAUGUAGAGUUUCAUGUGGUCGGAGAUGCCUAAGAUAUUUUUGUAUCUGGAAGUGUAACGUAAAGAUACGUUUUGAUCGUAGAUUCAGCAUAAAUUGUCGGCGAGCAUUGAUGUGGUGGUGCAACACAGGGGAAAUGGACUGUGACGAAUAACAAGAAGCAGCAGCAACAGGAGGGUGAAAUAAAGAAGAACAGGAAGAAGAAGAAGCGCGUGAAUGUGCCAAAUAUGUAAAAAACAUUAUUGUAGGUUAGACGCGAGAAGAUUUGAAACAAGAAAGGAAUGAAAAGAGAGAAGUAAUUGAGCUUUAUUUGCAAAGUGGGAAUAGAAUAGAUAAUAGGUAAUAUGUAAGGCAAUAUAAUUUUGUGGAUGAUAGAAGAACGGAUUUAUUUGGUUUCUAGAAGACUAAAGAAUAGGUAAAGAUGCAUUUAGGAGAUAUAUGUGUGCGUUGUUUAUUUGACCAUUGACCAUAAACUGCGAUAUUAGGCUUAAAAAAUAUAGGAUGACAGAUAGAAUAGUUUUGAAAGGUUAAGAGUACGGUUGCGUUAAGAAAGGUGUAAUUGCGAAAUGUACAAUGGAAUCGGGCAAUGGGAUGGAACACUAUUACGAAAGGUAGUAAUUAUAAUCUGGAAAUAUAUUAGUAAGGAAGAACACGGCUGGAAUCUUGUAAUUAUACGGACACUAUAUGGGAAGUGAUUAAUGUUAAAUGACUUCCAUUUAAAGGAACAAAAGGAAAUAUGGAGGUAAUUAGGGCGGAUUGUAAGGGUGGAUGAGAAUUACGACGCAUUGCGGACACAGACAGGAAAGAGAAAUUGUAUCUGUUAGGAGGUGGAUGAGCAGGAGGGAAUAGAGAGAAAGGAAAUUAUUGAAACGUUAUUUGAGAAAGGAAAAAGUCGAGGCUGAAGAAGAAACAAAUGUAAUUGUCAGAAAAACAAAAGGAGCCAUGUUUGUGGAAGAAAUGGAUUAAGCAGAAAUGUAUGUUUAAGUAAGCGAUACG